Molecule: unclassified non-coding RNA, 410 nt
Filed under: Rothmannia capensis
Lineage: Eukaryota; Viridiplantae; Streptophyta; Magnoliopsida; Gentianales; Rubiaceae
Description: partial external transcribed spacer
Source: RNAcentral
UCCCCGCUGGUGCGGCGACGUCCUCCCUCGCACUCCUCCUCAGUCGUUGGCGCAAGAGCAACGUCACCGGCCUUGGCCGCCCGCGGGUUUCCUGUGUUGCAUACCUACCGGAAGGAAUUGGGUCGUCACAACGUUGGACGUUCUCCCGGCGCCGCCCCCUCGCGGRCAGCGGCGCGGGGUGAACCGCGAAGGCGGGUUCGUGUUCCGGGGUGCGGCCGUGYAGUGCGUCGCGCCCCGGCCCAUGAGCCGCCGCCUGAGCUCUCGGAUGCGGAACACCGGGAGGGCAGGAGGCGUGCGGCCUCCGUUUGCCCGAGCACGGCGUCAAUCGCCCGCAUCGAACGACCGCCGUCGUCGCGUCGGGACGAGCGGMCCCCGGGCCUGCCGGCCUCGUGCGACGCCGGCGUCGGUUA